UACAGAGGUCCCGAGCGUUGUUCGGAUUCACUGGGCUUAAAGCGUGUGUAGGCGGAUCUGUAAGUACCUUGUGAAAUCCCACGGCUCAACCGUGGAACUGCUUGGUAUACUGCGGGUCUUGAGCCACCUAGGGGCAAGUGGAACAAACGGUGGAGCGGUGAAAUGCGUAGAUAUCGUUUGGAACGCCAAUGGUGAAAACAACUUGCUGGGGGUGUGCUGACGCUGAAACACGAAAGCCAGGGGAGCAAACGGG
Molecule: ribosomal RNA, 253 nt
Filed under: uncultured bacterium
Lineage: Bacteria
Description: partial 16S ribosomal RNA
Rfam family: Bacterial small subunit ribosomal RNA
Source: RNAcentral